This 1208-nucleotide ribosomal RNA is filed under the name metagenome. RNAcentral describes it as "bacterial LSU rRNA". It matches the Rfam family "Bacterial large subunit ribosomal RNA", at positions 1564 to 2784 of the family's 2925-position model. The record is from RNAcentral.
UGAUGGGGAAGCCCUUCGGGGCGAAGUAGCUGAUUUCACACUGUCAAGAAAAGCUUCUAUCGAGUUUAAAGGCGCCCGUACCGUAAACCGACACAGGUGGGUGAGGAGAGUAUCCUAAGGCCAGCGAGAGAACUAUUGUUAAGGAACUCGGCAAAAUGACCCCGUAACUUAGGGAGAAGGGGUGCCUGUCUAUGACAGGCCGCAGAGAAUAGGCCCAAGCGACUGUUUACCAAAAACACAGGUUUCUGCUAAGUCGCAAGACGAUGUAUAGGAGCUGACGCCUGCCCGGUGCUGGAAGGUUAAGGGGAUCUGUUAGAGCAAUCGAAGCAGUGAACUUAAGCCCCAGUAAACGGCGGCCGUAACAAUAACGGUCCUAAGGUAGCGAAAUUCCUUGUCGGGUAAGUUCCGACCCGCACGAAAGGCGUAACGAUUUGGGCACUGUCUCAACAAUAGACUCGGUGAAAUUGUAAUCCCGGUGAAGAUGCCGGGUACCUGCGACAGGACGGAAAGACCCCAUGGAGCUUUACUGUAGCUUGACGUUGGGUCUUGGUACUACAUGUACAGGAUAGGUGGGAGACUAUGAAGCAUGGACGCCAGUCUGUGUGGAGUCAUCCUUGGGAUACCACCCUUGUAGUACUGGGAUCCUAACCAUAGGCCUUGAAUCAGGUCUUGGAACACCGUCAGGUGGGCAGUUUGACUGGGGCGGUCGCCUCCUAAAAAGUAACGGAGGCGCUCAAAGGUUUCCUCAGCACGGUCGGAAAUCGUGCGAAGAGUGUAAAGGCAAAAGGAAGCUUGAUUGCAAGACAUACAGGUCGAGCAAGGACGAAAGUCGGACUUAGUGAUUCGGUGGUACCGCAUGGAAGGGCCAUCGCUCAACUGAUAAAAGCUACCCUGGGGAUAACAGGCUUAUCUCCCCCAAGAGUCCACAUCGACGGGGAGGUUUGGCACCUCGAUGUCGGCUCAUCACAUCCUGGGGCUGUAGUAGGUCCCAAGGGUUGGGCUGUUCGCCCAUUAAAGUGGUACGCGAGCUGGGUUCAGAACGUCGUGAGACAGUUCGGUCCCUAUCCGUCGCAGGCGUAGGAAAUUUGAGAAGACCUGUCCUUAGUACGAGAGGACCGGGAUGGACGUACCUCUGGUGUACCUGUUGUUCUGCCAAGGGCAUGGCUGGGUAGCUAUGUACGGAAUGGAUAAGCGCUGAAAGCAUCUAA